Molecule: microRNA, 24 nt
Filed under: Petromyzon marinus (sea lamprey)
Lineage: Eukaryota; Metazoa; Chordata; Hyperoartia; Petromyzontiformes; Petromyzontidae
Description: Pma-Mir-21_5p (mature (guide))
Source: RNAcentral
UAGCUUAUCAGACUGGUGUUUGCU